AAGAUUUUAAGUUAAUAAAACUUUUAAUUUUCAAAAUUAAUUAUAUAAAAUAAAUUUAUAAAUCUUA
Molecule: transfer RNA, 67 nt
Filed under: Nomada ruficornis
Lineage: Eukaryota; Metazoa; Arthropoda; Insecta; Hymenoptera; Apidae
Description: tRNA-Trp
Source: RNAcentral